UUAAACUUCUGUCCAGUGCCAAAUAACAUCUUACGACUUCAUAAAGUUUAUAAGCAAAACAUCAUCCAAACAAUCUCUAGGGGUUUAAAGAGCUGGGAGUUCUUCUCACAUACUCUCCAUUAGCACGAAUGCAUUUUACAUUCGCGCAUUGCAGCUGGAAAGCCCGCGUUCCAACAGUAGUAUCUUCAGAGCUCAGCAUCCUCAUUAGCGAUAUUGCAGAAGCCCCUCUUGCUCAUUAGUUGGAGGCAGUGCUGUUUAGCUGUGACCACGUAGUGAUGGUGAAUGCAUUAUCCAACUUGCCUUGAUAACACUUCAGAAAGGGAGUGCCCACAUAAAAAAGUAAGCGAUUUAUAACGGGAACAUAAAGCUUCCUUCUCCUGUACUCUGUUUUUCCCUAUCCUAUUCUAUAGACUAUUUCACUUCUCUGGCAUUUAAGCCAUUCUUUGUUUCCUGGAUAAAUCUAAUGCUUGCCUCUUUCCCGUCUCCCAAUUUUACCUUUUAAACUUCAGAUUGGGGAUUUUCGAUGAGGGAAAAAUUUGCUGAUGAGGUUUAGGGAUUUUCCCCCAAAGUGGGAUAUGCUGAGUGAUCUUCUCUUGAGCUACAGAAAAAUUCGACACCUUUUUUUUCCUGUAACUUUUUUCCAAGUAUAUUUCAGAAGCUCUUGUCCUUUCCCAGGCGAUUCAACAAACUUGUUAGUUUCCUUUAUGGUAGGAGCUAAACAUCAGCGUUACUGAAGAAUCCUCAGUUUGUUUGUUUUUUUAGCGUUAGCAGAAUAUCAUUCUCCUCUGAAUUUUCACUAGCAUGAGUAGUAGCUCGACAUCCAACAAAAUCUUCCGAUUCCUGAAUGAUGCCAAAUCCCUCUUUGGUUGCAUACAUAUCAGGGAGUGGGGGAACCAGUCCAAUUAUGAGUAAAUUUUAAAUGAAGUAGAUCUGGGUUAAUCUAUUCUGUCUUUUGUGUUGAUUCCUUUUAACAAGUGAAUUUGCAUGCUACUAUGUUGACUCACUCCUGUUUGUUUGUUGUGAUAGACUUUAAACAACGUACUACCAUAUCUCGGACGUAGGUUUAUCCUCCCUGACUUCUUGUUUCCUGUGUUGUCUUCAGAGCUGUGUAACCCUGGAAUAAAUGAAUAUGCGUUGCACAGGUUUCCCAGGAGGCUGUUGAGCUAAAGGGGUCUUGUGUGAAGAGAGUUAAGAAAUUAUUUAACUCAUGAAAAACUAUUGAAUACUGACAAGAAGGGAGAAAAGCUGAUUGAAUAAAAAUGUACAUCCCUCUCCUUGGGCAUGGGUGUGAAACUCGGCUAGAUUCCCCACACCUCAGAAAAAAUCCCAAGCAUUCUUUGCAGGCAAGCUUAGAUUCCAAUAGCUUGGUUAUACAUUUUAAUGGUCUGGCAUUGUCAGGAACUGGUACAACAAAGCUCUUAAUAGUCCCACAUGUAUGAUUACAAAAGUCUGCGUCUGUUGCACUUGCAUCAGCCAAGCAAAAAAUGCCAUGAAAGUUCUCGGUGCUCUCAGCAGUUUGGACAAACCAAGGUGAUUGCCAUGGAACUUGAAAGCUGUUGUAUUUUAAUCAAGCACCGUAUAGGUUUUCCCCAGUCCCAGGUGGUAUUGAAAGUUGUGAGUGUUAGGGCUUGCUUUCUUCUGCUGGGACUAUUAGAGCAUGUACGUUAGAGAGAGUGCCUUGUUUAAUGUUCCUUUAAACAAGUGCACGCCUGUGAAAAUGGACGUGCAGUCUCAUCAGCCAAUUGGCAUGUUUCUGAGUCUUCCCAAAAUGCUCAAGAAGCAGAUGCCCAGAAGCUUUAGUGCGUGCAUGAAAUAAUCAAAAAUAUUGAACAAGUCACCCUUUUUGUUGUGUGUAAUAAAUCACUGUGUACACGCUGCACACCCACUACCUUCCCGAAGUGUUUUUUCAAGACCUUCUAAAAUAUUACUUAAUAAGCAUUCGUAUGGAAUACAUUUUUAUCCAACCAACGGUAACCUGCAGGCAUGUACCAGCCACCUGACAUUAACUGAAAACCAGUCAUCUUUUACAAUCUAGCAUCAUGUUUUAAACUCUUGACUUCCGAUCUCUUUUUUUUCAUGAUUGUAGCGUUAAUUCUGUGAACAGUAUAAAGGCAUUUGUUGGUGCUGCUGAGGUUAGAUGUCAGUCCUUUUAUUAAAUACGGGCUUCCAAGGGUUUAUAACUUCCCCGUUGUUUUAAUUCACAUUUUGCUGAAGCUUGACACCCAGCUUCUCAGCACAAAGGCACCUUUUCCCCUUUCUCUAACACCUUUAAAACACUUUGGCCUGUUUGGCUGUUUCUUUCAGCACCAAUUAGAAGUACUAAGUUUUAACAUGGGGUUUUAUGUAGCAGUUCAGCAUAGAAACUGAGAUUUGAUCAAUUAAGAUUUGCUAGUGAUUUCUUCGGAUAAUCCUUUUCAUCCUCCUAAAAGUAUGCAUGUAGAUAAGAUAAUGGGCCCUAAUUCAGCAAAGCAUGUCAACGUGGGCUUAAAUCCAAAGAGUUCAAUGGGACUUCAGUACAUGCUUAAAGUUAAGGAGAUGCUUAAGUGCUUUGCUGAAUUGGGACCAUAAUGAAAUAUUAGUACUCCUACAACACCAUUCUGUUGACCUAGCUGUUGUGCUUUGAGUUACAAAUAAAGGUAUGGUGGCAGGGGAACCAAAAAAACAAACAAAUCCCAAAAUGCUCCAUCUUAUAAGAAACCAAAUUUCCCAAA
This is a long non-coding RNA of Chelonia mydas (Green sea turtle), 2711 nucleotides long. RefSeq lists it as uncharacterized. The transcript has 2 exons. Lineage: Eukaryota; Metazoa; Chordata; Testudines; Cheloniidae. The record is from RefSeq and is a predicted model, not a curated record.